This 253-nucleotide ribosomal RNA is filed under the name uncultured bacterium. RNAcentral's name for it is "partial 16S ribosomal RNA". It matches the Rfam family "Bacterial small subunit ribosomal RNA", at positions 524 to 776 of the family's 1533-position model. The record is from RNAcentral.
UACAGAGGUCCCGAGCGUUGUUCGGAUUCACUGGGCGUAAAGGGUGCGUAGGCGGCUUGACAAGUUGCAUCUAAAAGGCGGCAGCUCAACUGACGAGUGCGGUGCAAGACUGUAAAGCUUGAGGCAAGCAAAAGAAUGUGGAACUCCGAGUGUAGCGGUGGAAUGCGUAGAGAUUCGGAGGAACACCCAUGGCGAAGGCAGCAUUCUGGGCUUGACCUGACGCUGAGGCACGAAAGCCAGGGGAGCGAACGGG